GCUGGGCAGUGGGAGAGGAUGGAGGCAGAGCAAUGGAGAGAUGUUGCUGAAGAGGCUUGCCUUUUUCCUGAUGAUCCUCCAAACCUCCUAUGCUGGCUGGGCUCUACCUCAGCCGACCCCAGCUCCCCGUAGACUUGCUCGUCCUCGAGUUGGAUUCCUACCUGUUGGGAAGGAUCAGGUGCACGUUGGUUUUGGAGCAAGGGUUUGCCUCCCCACCACUAUUCCCUCUGGUGGGUGUGUUUAAAGGAAGAGCAGGGGGAGAACAAGAUCCUGAAGAGUCAUGAAUGAUGUCUGAAGUUAUACUUGGGUUGGGACUGUGCUUAUUGAUUUUCAAUGAAACCACGUACAAAAGGAAGAGACCUCCUUGCCUCCCUCUGAUCCAAGAUACUCCUCCAGCCUUUUUUUU
Non-coding RNA from Anas platyrhynchos (mallard), 406 nucleotides. The record is from RefSeq and is a predicted model, not a curated record. Lineage: Eukaryota; Metazoa; Chordata; Aves; Anseriformes; Anatidae.